GCCAAUGUAGCUCAGUUGGUAGAGCAAUGCUUUCGUAAAGCAGAGGUCGGGGGUUCGACUCCCCCCAUUGGCU
This 73-nucleotide transfer RNA is filed under the name Candidatus Roizmanbacteria bacterium. RNAcentral's name for it is "tRNA-Thr". It matches the Rfam family "tRNA". Rfam says of the family: Transfer RNA (tRNA) molecules are approximately 80 nucleotides in length. Their secondary structure includes four short double-helical elements and three loops (D, anti-codon, and T loops). Lineage: Bacteria; Candidatus Roizmaniibacteriota. The record is from RNAcentral.